RNAcentral lists this transfer RNA (69 nucleotides) under Triticum aestivum (bread wheat). It matches the Rfam family "tRNA". From Rfam's summary of the family: Transfer RNA (tRNA) molecules are approximately 80 nucleotides in length. The record is from Rfam by way of RNAcentral. Lineage: Eukaryota; Viridiplantae; Streptophyta; Magnoliopsida; Poales; Poaceae.
CCCAUUGCUCAGUUGCUAGAGCACAAGGCUCUUAACCUUAUGGUCGUGGGUUCGAGCCCCAUGGUGGGG